AGACGUCCUCAUAAUCAAACCCCCUCUAAUCAUAUUGCCACAUUCAAUAAGGAAUUCCAAAGAUCUUGCUCAUUAUUUUUCUCUUCUCAAAACGUCAGUCAAGUGCCGAUUCCAUCCCACCCCUGUUAAGUUGUGUUCCAGCGUCUUGAGUUUUCAUUUUCCUUUCAUGCUCCCCAGAUACUAAACUCGAUCUAGGUUGUUUUGUUUGUUGCAGGAGGCAAGGUUAAGCAGGUGAACGACCAGGUCUCGGUGGUCUGCAAGGGAGGUGAUGAUGGUGGUUGUUCUGCUUCUUCAAUUCAAAAUACACAAUAAAGACAAGAUUCUAUUCUUUUACUGCCGAUGCACUUCGAUGCGAACAAGAACGUGGUUCUGGAAAUAAAGAAAAGUGAUGAUUCUGAAGAGACAUUGCUUGAAAACAAAAGGCUUGUGGUGGAGGCAGUAGAAAAGCUGGUAAAACGGAAGAAGAGAUAUUGAUUCACAUGUUUCAACUAUUUAAAUUGAAUGUCAAAGGAUGAGCCAACCGCACUUGAUAUAAAAAAGGACCCUGAAAGCAUGUGAGAUGAUGAAGAUUGUAUAAAAGAUUCAUGGGAAGAUGAAGUUGAACCCUCUCUGUGGUAGCACCUCCUGUUGUGAAGGCCCUAAAGAAGUCAACAGUCAAACCGGCUCCAAGAAAAAGGGAUACCUGUUGUUGAAGUAGCAAAAGAGGUGCCAUUUUAAACAAGCUUUGUAUUUCAGGCUCGAGCUCGGGCUCAAUAACUAAAUGAAUAUGGAAGUAUAAAUGGCUUCAUAAAGUUUUGGAUUUAAUAUGUUGAUCGACUGUGCUCAGCGACUGUGGUUUCUUGACACAUACACUGGAGGAUACAGAGUUCAUCGCGAUAUAAAGGUAACUAAGCCAUUUAAUGUUGCUUUUUCUAAUAGUCUGUGGUGAUUUUACUGUUUAGAUUUCGGCAGCCUCACGCAACUCGAACUGGGUUCGUUGUUACGAUCAUUAGGCCUUACACCGAGCCCUGAUCAACUGGAUGCAUUGAUACAGAAAGCGGAUACUAAUAGUAAUGGUUUUGUGCAUUGAUGUUGUAUUAUCUUGCACUACACAUUUGGAUAAUUGAGAUUCUCAUAAUACCAUUUAAUAUUAUGUGCAACUAACAAUUACGUGAACAGGUACUCAAUAGAGUUUUCGACCAGUCGGAAACCGCAAAUGCUCCACUUGGUUGGCCAUAAUUUGGUUGUUUUGCGUCAGUUUGUUUUGUCCCUUCGUAACUUGGCAAGGGUUUGAUCCGUAUAGGGAUUGUCAGAUCCAACUGACAGGUGCAGGCAACAAAGAUUAUGGGAGUCAUAAAGGCGAUUAUUUUCUCUGGAUCAAAACAAGGGCGGGAUAUGCAGAUCUGGAAUGGGAUAAAUGGAGAACUUUUAAUUUCAGCAAUUUCCCGAUGUGGAACAGAAUAUUGGGUUUGUGCAGAAGAAAAGGGAUGAUGUGGCAUUUUUAGUUUUUCACCGAAAGACCAUGAGUCUGUUGAUCAAUUUUCACUUAAGAACUUUUUUUUACAGUAAUUCUUAUGUAUUAGCUUUGUGUUUUAACCACUUCACACAACACAACAUUUGAUGACAUUUUUCAUGAUAGUUUAACCAUGGACUGGUCAAAACGUCCGAAA
This is a long non-coding RNA of Helianthus annuus (common sunflower), 1649 nucleotides long. RefSeq lists it as uncharacterized. NCBI's taxonomy places the organism in Eukaryota, Viridiplantae, Streptophyta, Magnoliopsida, Asterales, Asteraceae. The transcript has 6 exons. The record is from RefSeq and is a predicted model, not a curated record.